Molecule: ribosomal RNA, 413 nt
Filed under: Mandarina sp. B AD-2007
Lineage: Eukaryota; Metazoa; Mollusca; Gastropoda; Stylommatophora; Camaenidae
Description: partial 16S ribosomal RNA
Source: RNAcentral
AGUUUUGAGCUAAAUAUAUUAUAAUAUUAGUUAUUUUUAAAAGGUGUCGUAAAACCUUAUUAAAAAUUAUAUUUAGGGGUGAUAGGCUUUUCAAAAACUAAGAUAUCUUGAAUCUAAAUAAAAGUAUGUAGUACAUUUAACACGACUAUUUAGUGAUUAGGCUUUAUAGGAUUAUUAACUUUAUAUGAUAUUAUAUUUUAUUAUAAUUUAAUAACUAAGUAUUAAAAUAAAUUAACAUUCAUAUAUUAUAAUUUAUAAAGAGUAUUUAGAUAGAUUUUAAGUUAAAAAAAAUUGCAAAAAUGUUAAUAUUAGUAUAUAAAUAUAUACUUAUAUAAUGAACUCGGCAAAAAUGCUUCUCAACUGUUUAUCAAAAACAUAACUAUAUGAAAUUAUAUAUAGCGGUUUCUGCUCAA